GCCGCCCGGCGGCACCUCCGCGCAGACGCGGGGAAACGGAGGCUGGACCCUCAGGUGCCCUUCAGGACUCGUAAUUUCCCCCAGAGGGCAAGGACAGCGGCGGCCUAGCGGCUGGGCUGGCGAGUGGCAGAGGAAAAGGAAGCCUUUCAGAAGUAUGCUGGACUAAUUGAUAACCAUGGUAUUAUCAGGAGUACUCAAAGAAAAUAAGGCUGUUGCAGAGAAGUUCAUAAACUAUUUGAGCUGGUGUUCACCAGUGGAUAUCCUGGAAAUGGAAGGGAUUUUGGAGAGAAUGGAUGAAACUGAUAAAAUAACAGUAAGAAACCACUAGGACCAGAUGGAAAUUGCUAACAGUUCUAGGUCACCCUGAAGAGUGGAUACUGUGUCAAUGUGCAGGAAUGAACCUGGUCUCAAAGCCUAAAAGCACCCUCCUUGCUAAUGAACUCUUUAGCAGACACAUCCUGACCAAGGGGAGAAGACACAUCCACGUGGCAGUUCAUGUGCAGGCAUAACAGCAGAUAAACCCCAAAAUAUUCCAUGGCCCACCAAACAGUAGACAUUUGGCUAGAGGACAUUUUGCCCGGGUGAGCCUCGCAGUGGCUUAAACUGCCAGAAGGGUUUAGGAAUAGUGUCCCAUGUGCUCUGGAGGGUGGGAACUGACAGCACCUGGAGGUGUCCUUGAGAGAUGCAGUGUCCAUGCUCUCUCGUACAGGCAUGUCCUUAGAGCUAAGUACAGUUCUUGACGCUCUGAAUUAUUGGGGAGAAUCUGGUUUGUGCCAGAGAGACAUGCCUAACACUUUUGAAUUUCUGUGCCUGUUUGCCAAAAGCCGAAGCACUCACCUGGUAGUGUGAGUUGUCUCACACUAUGCCUGUGAGUGCUCAGCCUGCGCUCCCUGGCUGUGCUGCAUUUCCGUACUGAGUAUUACCUUCUCCUGCUCCCUGUGGUAUAAGAAGGAAAUGGGGGCCCAUGAGCCAAGAAGGAUCUGCAGCACACUUUCACCAAGUUCCUGAUGUAGACAACUGGACCAGCUGUCCAGGGCUUGGCAAUUUGCUCACAACGUUCAAAGCUUCAGCACCCUUCAUCGUCAAACCUGUCUAAUCCUUCCUUGGCCAGAGAGCACCUCUCCCUUCCCUUCUCCACACGCCUCAAACGAGCUCUACUGACAGCCCUGAGGAGUUAGACAUGGGGGCUGAGGGUAGUGUGGUUUCCAUGUUUGCAUUCUUUCACAGGGAAAAGGUCUUAGAUGGGCUGGGCUCUACCUCUGCUGACAGACACCUUCCUGCAGAGUUGGGAGAGUGAGGGGAAUCACAGAAUUGUCUUAAGUUGGAAAAGACCUUGAAGAUCAUCCAGUCCAACCAUUAACCUAACACUGACAGUCCCAACUACACCAGAUCCCUCAGCGCUAUGUCGACCCUUCUCUUAAACAACUCCAGGGAUGGGGACUCCACCACUGCCCUGGGCAGACCAAGAGAUGGGAAGUGCUUUUCACUUCUCUCUUAUCCUACAAAGUGCCUUGUCCCCGUGCAGAGAAGACAUCCCACCUCUGGGCUUCGUUCACUGCUGCCCCAUACCUGCCUGACACAGAGCCUGGCCGCAGCCGGGCACCGGCAGCCUCACGCUUUGGAUGCGCUGGUGUUCCCGACGCCAAACUGCAGCUGCCUCCUGGCCGUCAGGUUUGAGAAGCAGCUGUCUUUUCUCAGUUUGCUGCCUUUCUUUGCCUGCUGAGGCUCGGUCACCAGCCGUGUCGCAGUCCAGGCCGAGUACUAAGUCAAUUAAAUGUGGAAUCGGCAAAAGGUCAAGUUAAAUGAAACAAAUAAAGCACACGGUCUCAAACACCGGGCUCGUCUGC
This is a long non-coding RNA of Athene cunicularia (burrowing owl), 1847 nucleotides long. RefSeq lists it as uncharacterized. Lineage: Eukaryota; Metazoa; Chordata; Aves; Strigiformes; Strigidae. The record is from RefSeq and is a predicted model, not a curated record. The transcript is spliced from 4 exons.